Molecule: non-coding RNA, 67 nt
Organism: Trichonephila clavipes
Lineage: Eukaryota; Metazoa; Arthropoda; Arachnida; Araneae; Nephilidae
Source: the annotation of a GenBank genome assembly
GCCAGUAUAGUGGUAAGUCCCUCGGCUUGUAACCGAGUGGGUUCGGGUUCGAAUCCCUAGUAAGACA